Molecule: long non-coding RNA, 612 nt
Organism: Mauremys reevesii (Reeves's turtle)
Lineage: Eukaryota; Metazoa; Chordata; Testudines; Geoemydidae
Exons: 4
Source: RefSeq, a predicted model, not a curated record
AGAACUUAGCAUUUAUAGUUCUCUGAUAUUAACAUGGGACCUCCUGAGGGGCUCAUGUUUAUAUAUGGUGACGUAGGAGUCCACCUUGUGUGUGAUGAUGAGAGAAAGUUACAUGCUAACACAUAGGUUCUAGUUAUUACUGUUACAAAACAAGGUGGAAAACCUAGUUUCUGGUUAGGGAGAAAAAGUGUGGGAAGCUGUAAUUAACAUUAGGCAGGGGCACCCAAAGUUUGCCCAAAUGAAGACUGCCUUGGUAACUUGUCAGGAAUCUGAGGGCCAAACCUGUUAAAGAGGAAUGAAAAGACAACGUAUCUGAUCUCAAACUUGCCAGAGGACAGGAACAUGGCUUCAUGGCUCAGACAAACUGCUGAUCUAAGUUGUUCCUGGAAAGCCUCUGCACCACACAUAUGAACUUCACACUUUCAAACAGGACAGGUGGCAUUUUAAGGUUCCAGGAUGGUAGUUGUUUCUGAAGAGUGCUUAAGUAUCACAAAAUCCUUCCCUUGAGGACGGAAAGAAAGUGAAACAUGGGACUGCUGAUGGGAGACGGAGAAAUAAGCAUACAGCAAGAUGGCAUUGUUGAAAAUAACUCACCUCUUUUACGUGUCCCAG